AAACCAUGGUACGGACACUUGUGCAACAUCAAUUUGAAAUGCUCCCAAGCCUCGUAUAAUGACUCCCCUUCUAAUUGUAAAAAAUUUGUAAUGUCCAUCUGAAGUUU
Small nucleolar RNA from Gossypium raimondii (Peruvian cotton), 107 nucleotides. It matches the Rfam family "Plant small nucleolar RNA R71". From Rfam's summary of the family: R71 is a member of the C/D box family of snoRNAs containing the C (UGAUGA) and D (CUGA) box motifs. NCBI's taxonomy places the organism in Eukaryota, Viridiplantae, Streptophyta, Magnoliopsida, Malvales, Malvaceae. The record is from Rfam.